UAAGAUAGCAAGAGGGUAUCAAUAGGCAGAAUCCAGCAACAAUCUCCCCAGUUCUGUUCUGAUCUCGGCGUGUGUACAGCAUUGACAGAUCCUGUCAUUGAGAGGGAUGUGUUCGCUGUCAUUAUGACGGAUGUGUUCGGUGUCAUUGAGAGGGAUGUAUUCGCUAUCAUUGAGAGGGAUGAACGAUCUAUUUGGAACGUACCGACAUUCUACCGAGAUCGUAAAGAAACUUCCCUACAGGUUGGGGAGUGAGAAAAGAAUACACCAGCUGGUACCCACUGCAUGGUUGUAGGAGGCUGCCAAUGUGAGAACCUCCUGCAGAA
Mizuhopecten yessoensis (Yesso scallop) is the source of this 323-nucleotide long non-coding RNA. RefSeq lists it as uncharacterized. The transcript has 3 exons. Lineage: Eukaryota; Metazoa; Mollusca; Bivalvia; Pectinida; Pectinidae. The record is from RefSeq and is a predicted model, not a curated record.